ACCUGAGUGGCUUAGUUGGUUGAGUGUCUGACUUUGGGUCAGGUCAUGAUCUCGCAGUGUGUGAGUUCGAGCCCCACAUCGGGCU
This 85-nucleotide transfer RNA is filed under the name Felis catus (domestic cat). It matches the Rfam family "tRNA". From Rfam's summary of the family: Transfer RNA (tRNA) molecules are approximately 80 nucleotides in length. Their secondary structure includes four short double-helical elements and three loops (D, anti-codon, and T loops). Lineage: Eukaryota; Metazoa; Chordata; Mammalia; Carnivora; Felidae. RNAcentral also lists the same sequence under 4 other names. The record is from Rfam by way of RNAcentral.